CCUACGGGAGGCAGCAGUGGGGAAUAUUGCACAAUGGGGGAAACCCUGAUGCAGCGACGCCGCGUGAGUGAAGACGUAUCUCGGUACGUAAAGCUCUAUCAGCAGGAAAGAAAAUGACGGUACCUGACUAAGAAGCCCCGGCUAACUACGUGCCAGCAGCCGCGGUAAUACGUAGGGGGCAAGCGUUAUCCGGAUUUACUGGGUGUAAAGGGAGCGUAGACGGCGCUGCAAGUCCGGAGUGAAAGCCCAUGGCUUAACCAUGGUACUGCUCUGGAAACUGUUGAGCUUGAGUGCGGGAGGGGCAUGCGGAAUGCCUAGUGUAGCGGUGAAAUGCGUAGAUAUUAGGAGGAACACCGGCGGCGAAGGCAGCCUGCUGGACCGUAACUGACGUUGAUGCUCGAAAGCGUGGGUAGCAAACAGGAUUAGAUACCCCAGUAGUC
Molecule: ribosomal RNA, 440 nt
Filed under: uncultured bacterium
Lineage: Bacteria
Description: partial 16S ribosomal RNA
Rfam family: Bacterial small subunit ribosomal RNA
Source: RNAcentral